This 71-nucleotide transfer RNA is filed under the name Candidatus Methanolliviera hydrocarbonicum. Its description in RNAcentral is "tRNA-Cys". It matches the Rfam family "tRNA". From Rfam's summary of the family: Transfer RNA (tRNA) molecules are approximately 80 nucleotides in length. Their secondary structure includes four short double-helical elements and three loops (D, anti-codon, and T loops). RNAcentral also lists the same sequence under 1 other name. Lineage: Archaea; Methanobacteriati; Methanobacteriota; Candidatus Methanoliparia; Candidatus Methanoliparales; Candidatus Methanollivieraceae. The record is from RNAcentral.
GCCAGGGUGGCAGAGAGGCUAUGCAGUCGGCUGCAGACCGACUUACCUCGGUUCAAAUCCGGGCCCUGGCU